GACGAACGCUGGCGGCGUGCUUAACACAUGCAAGUCGAACGGAAAGGCCCUGCUUUUGUGGGGUGCUCGAGUGGCGAACGGGUGAGUAACACGUGAGUAACCUGCCCUUGACUUUGGGAUAACUUCAGGAAAAUGGGGCGAAUACCGGAUAGGAGCUCCUGCUGCAUGGUGGGGGUUGGAAAGUUUCGGCUGUUGGGGAUGGACUCGCGGCUUAUCAGCUUGUUGGUGGGGUAGUGGCUUACCAAGGCUUUGACGGGUAGCCGGCCUGAGAGGGUGACCGGCCACAUUGGGCCUGCGAUACGGCCCAGACUCCUACGGGCGGCAGCAGUGGGGAAUAUUGCACAAUGGGCGGACGCCUGAUGCAGCAACGCCGCGUGCGGGAUGACGGCCUUCGGGUUGUAAACCGCUUUCGCCUGUGACGAAGCGUGAGUGACGGUAAUGGGUAAAGAAGCACCGGCUAACUACGUG
This 468-nucleotide ribosomal RNA is filed under the name uncultured bacterium. RNAcentral describes it as "partial 16S ribosomal RNA". It matches the Rfam family "Bacterial small subunit ribosomal RNA", at positions 28 to 507 of the family's 1533-position model. The record is from RNAcentral.